Molecule: ribosomal RNA, 243 nt
Filed under: Triticum aestivum (bread wheat)
Lineage: Eukaryota; Viridiplantae; Streptophyta; Magnoliopsida; Poales; Poaceae
Description: partial small subunit ribosomal RNA
Source: RNAcentral
AUGCUGGAGAAUUCAUUUCUAAUAAAUACUCGAAUGAAAAAAUUCGAUACCAUAGUCCCCGCUACUCUCCUCAUAGGAUACUUAUCAAAAGCUCAAUUUUGUACUGGAUCGGGGCAUCCUAUUAGUAAACCCAUUUGGACAGAUUUAUCAGAUUGGGAUAUUCUUGAUCGAUUUGGUCAGAUAUGUAGAAAUCUUUUUCAUUAUCAUAGUGGAUCCUCGAAAAAACGACUUUGUAUCGACUAA